Molecule: ribosomal RNA, 301 nt
Filed under: uncultured bacterium
Lineage: Bacteria
Description: partial 16S ribosomal RNA
Rfam family: Bacterial small subunit ribosomal RNA
Source: RNAcentral
CAGUCGCCGCGGGAAUACGUAGGGUGCAAGCGUUAAUCGGAAUUACUGGGCGUAAAGCGUGCGCAGGCGGUUUGUUAAGACAGAUGUGAAAUCCCCGGGCUCAACCUGGGAACUGCAUUUGUGACUGGCAAGCUAGAGUGUGGCAGAGGGGGGUGGAAUUCCGCGUGUAGCAGUGAAAUGCGUAGAUAUGCGGAGGAACACCGAUGGCGAAGGCAGCCCCCUGGGCCAACACUGACGCUCAUGCACGAAAGCGUGGGGAGCAAACAGGAUUAGAUACCCCCGUAGUCCCUGUCUCUUAUAC